GCCAGGCAUGAUGGCACAUGCCUGUAGUCCCAGUGGCUCAGGAGGCUGAGACAGGAGAAUCGCGAGUUCAAAGCCAGCCUCAGCAAGAGUGAGGCUCUAAGCAACUCAGUGAGACGCUGUCUCUA
Molecule: small RNA, 125 nt
Filed under: Marmota monax (woodchuck)
Lineage: Eukaryota; Metazoa; Chordata; Mammalia; Rodentia; Sciuridae
Source: RNAcentral